This 403-nucleotide ribosomal RNA is filed under the name uncultured bacterium. Its description in RNAcentral is "partial 16S ribosomal RNA". It matches the Rfam family "Bacterial small subunit ribosomal RNA", at positions 30 to 526 of the family's 1533-position model. The record is from RNAcentral.
AUUGAACGCUGGCGGCAGGCCUAACACAUGCAAGUCGAGCGAGCGGUGGACGGGUGAGUAAUGUAUGGGGACUGCCCGAUAGAGGGGGAUAACUACUGGAAACGGUAGCUAAUACCGCAUACUAUCGGAUAACCCAUAUGGGAUUAGCUAGUAGGUGAGGUAAUGGCUCACCUAGGCGACGAUCCCUAGCUGGUCUGAGAGGUGGAUCAGCCACAUUGGGACUGAGACACGGCCCAUACUCCGACGGAGGCGGCAGUGGGGAAGAUGGCACAAUGGGCGCAAGCCUGAUGCAGCCAUGCCGCGUGUAUGAAGAAGGCCCUAGGGUUGUAAAGUACUUUUGGCAGAGAAGCGUUACCGACAGAAGAAGCACCGGCUAACUCCGUGCCAGCAGCCGCGGUAAUAC